Molecule: non-coding RNA, 168 nt
Organism: Pelobates cultripes (western spadefoot toad)
Lineage: Eukaryota; Metazoa; Chordata; Amphibia; Anura; Pelobatidae
Source: the annotation of a GenBank genome assembly
GCAGACACAUUCCAGCCAAUCAGCAGCAGACCCUCCCUCCCACACCCUCCCAACUUCUGGACAGCAUCCAUUUUACAUUCAUUGUGAAGCUGCAUUCUUAGUGAGCUGUCCAGGAGGUGGGAGGGUCUGGGAGGGAGGGUCUGCUGCUGAUUGGCUGGAAUGUGUCUG